This 481-nucleotide ribosomal RNA is filed under the name uncultured bacterium. RNAcentral's name for it is "partial 16S ribosomal RNA". It matches the Rfam family "Bacterial small subunit ribosomal RNA", at positions 28 to 523 of the family's 1533-position model. The record is from RNAcentral.
GACGAACGCUGGCGGCGUGCUUAACACAUGCAAGUCGAGCGGAAAGGCCACUUCGGUGGUACUCGAGCGGCGAACGGGUGGGUAACACGUGAGUAAUCUGCCCCUGGCUUUGGGAUAGCCACCGGAAACGGUGAUUAAUACCGGAUACGACCACUUCUCGCAUGGGAUGGUGGUGGAAAGUUUUUUCGGCCAGGGAUGUGCUCGCGGCCGAUCAGCUUGAUGGUGAGGUAAUGGCUCACCAUGGCUUCGACGGGUAGCCGGCCUGAGAGGGUGACCGGUCACACUGGGACUGAGAGACGGCCCAGACUCCGACGGGAGGCAGCAGUGGGGAAUAUUGGACAAUGGGCGGAAGCCUGAUCCAGCAACGCCGCGUGAGGGAUGACGGCCUUCGGGUUGUAAACCUCUUUCAGCAGGGACGAAGCGCAAGUGACGGUACCUGCAGAAGAAGCACCGGCCAACUACGUGCCAGCCGCCGCGGUAA